ACCUGUUCUUCCAGACGGACCUGCUACUCCAAUUAUGUAAUUGAAUUAAAUGUUCCUGCAAGCCCAGAGAACUGUAAGUUCCCACAUUUAAAGGAAGGGCUUUUUUCCCUUUGAAGACUCAUGACUAGGCCUGAUGCUCUGAAACUUCAAACUGGUUGGUUGAAGCCAUGAGAGGCAGCAGCCUGGAUAUAUUACUGAAUUCCUGGGCCAACAAAAUAGCUCACUUGGGUACUGUGGUGUUUUGCCACUAGAGUGAGCGACCCAUGUUCAAAGUUAGCCCUCGUGGUAUUGAAGAAAGUUUCAGUGCUGUGA
Molecule: long non-coding RNA, 312 nt
Organism: Erinaceus europaeus (western European hedgehog)
Lineage: Eukaryota; Metazoa; Chordata; Mammalia; Eulipotyphla; Erinaceidae
Exons: 2
Source: RefSeq, a predicted model, not a curated record